ACGCUGGCGGCGUGCCUAAUACAUGCAAGUAGAACGCUGAAGAGAGGAGCUUGCUCUUCUUGGAUGAGUUGCGAACGGGUGAGUAACGCGUAGGUAACCUGCCUUGUAGCGGGGGAUAACUAUUGGAAACGAUAGCUAAUACCGCAUAACAAUGGAUGACACAUGUCAUUUAUUUGAAAGGGGCAAUUGCUCCACUACAAGAUGGACCUGCGUUGUAUUAGCUAGUAGGUGAGGUAACGGCUCACCUAGGCGACGACACAUAGCCGACCUGAGAGGGUGAUCGGCCACACUGGGACUGAGACACGGCCCAGACUCCUACGGGAGGCAGCAGUAGGGAAUCUUCGGCAAUGGGGGCAACCCUGACCGAGCAACGCCGCGUGAGUGAAGAAGGUUUUCGGAUCGUAAAGCUCUGUUGUAAGUCAAGAACGAGUGUGAGAGUGGAAAGUUCACACUGUGACGGUAGCUUACCAGAAAGGGACGGCUAACUACGUGCCAGCAGCCGCGGUAAUACGUAGGUCCCGAGCGUUGUCCGGAUUUAUUGGGCGUAAAGCGGGCGCAGGCGGUUUGAUAAGUCUGAAGUUAAAGGCUGUGGCUCAACCAUAGUUCGCUUUGGAAACUGUCAAACUUGAGUGCAGAAGGGGAGAGUGGAAUUCCAUGUGUAGCGGUGAAAUGCGUAGAUAUAUGGAGGAACACCGGUGGCGAAAGCGGCUCUCUGGUCUGUAACUGACGCUGAGGCUCGAAAGCGUGGGGAGCGAACAGGAUUAGAUACCCUGGUAGUCCACGCCGUAAACGAUGAGUGCUAGGUGUUGUAUCCUUUCCGGGAUUCAGUGCCGCAGCUAACGCAUUAAGCACUCCGCCUGGGGAGUACGACCGCAAGGUUGAAACUCAAAGGAAUUGACGGGGGCCCGC
Molecule: ribosomal RNA, 909 nt
Filed under: uncultured bacterium
Lineage: Bacteria
Description: bacterial SSU rRNA
Rfam family: Bacterial small subunit ribosomal RNA
Source: RNAcentral